GACGAACGCUGGCGGCGUGCUUAACACAUGCAAGUCGAACGGAAAGGCCCUGCUUUUGUUGGUUGCUCGAAUGGCAAACGGGUGUGUAACCCGUGAGUAACCUGACCUUGACUUUGGGAUAACUUCAGGAAACUGGGGCUACUACCGGAUAGGAGCUCCUGCUGCUUAGUGGGUGUUGGCGCGUUUCGGCGGUGGGGGAUGGACUCGCGGCUUAUCAGCUUGUUGGUGGGGUAGUGGCUUACCAAGGCUUUGACGGGUAGCCGGCCUGGGAGGGUGACCGGCAACAUUGGGACUGAACUGCGGCCCAGACUACUACGGGAGGCAGCAGUGGAGAAGAGUGCACAAUGGGCGGAAGCCUGAUGCAGCAACGCCGCGUGCGGGAUGACGGCCUUCGGGUUGUAAACCGCUUUCGCCUGUUACGAAGAGAUAGUGACGGUAAUGGGUAAAGAAGCACCGGCUAACUACGUG
Molecule: ribosomal RNA, 468 nt
Filed under: uncultured bacterium
Lineage: Bacteria
Description: partial 16S ribosomal RNA
Rfam family: Bacterial small subunit ribosomal RNA
Source: RNAcentral